Molecule: ribosomal RNA, 253 nt
Filed under: uncultured bacterium
Lineage: Bacteria
Description: partial 16S ribosomal RNA
Rfam family: Bacterial small subunit ribosomal RNA
Source: RNAcentral
UACGGAGGGUGCGAGCGUUGUCCGGAAUUAUUGGGCGUAAAGGGCUCGUAGGCGGUCUGUUGCGUCAGGAGUGAAAACUCGGGGCUUAACCCCGAGCCUGCUUCUGAUACGGGCAGACUAGAGGUAUGCAGGGGAGAACGGAAUUCCUGGUGUAGCGGUGAAAUGCGCAGAUAUCAGGAGGAACACCGGUGGCGAAGGCGGGUCUCUGGGCCGAUACUGACGCUGAGGAGCGAAAGCGUGGGGAGCGAACAGG